Molecule: non-coding RNA, 70 nt
Organism: Potamilus streckersoni
Lineage: Eukaryota; Metazoa; Mollusca; Bivalvia; Unionida; Unionidae
Source: the annotation of a GenBank genome assembly
AAUGUGGCUUAAUGGUGUUAGUGUCCGCCUCAGAUGAGGGAGGUCAUGAGUUUGAUCCCCAGCUGAGUCA